CUGGCCCUACGGGGGGCAGCAGUAGGGAAUCUUCCACAAUGGGCGAAAGCCUGAUGGAGCAACGCCGCGUGGGUGAAGAAGGUCUUCGGAUCGUAAAACCCUGUUGUUAGAGAAGAAAGUGCGUGAGAGUAACUGUUCACGUUUCGACGGUAUCUAACCAGAAAGCCACGGCUAACUACGUGCCAGCAGCCGCGGUAAUACGUAGGUGGCAGGCGUUAUCCGGAUUUAUUGGGCGUAAAGGGAACGCAGGCGGUCUUUUAAGUCUGCUGUGAAAUCCUUCGGCUUAAUCGGAGUAGUGC
This 299-nucleotide ribosomal RNA is filed under the name uncultured bacterium. Its description in RNAcentral is "partial 16S ribosomal RNA". It matches the Rfam family "Bacterial small subunit ribosomal RNA", at positions 332 to 624 of the family's 1533-position model. The record is from RNAcentral.